CGGGUGGUAAUGCCGGAUGUUCCAGUUGAUCGCAUGGUCUUCUGGGAAAGCUUUCGCGGUAUGGGAUGGGGUCGCGUCCUAUCAGCUUGACGGCGGGGUAACGGCCCACCGUGGCUUCGACGGGUAGCCGGCCUGAGAGGGCGACCGGCCACAUUGGGACUGAGAUACGGCCCAGACUCCUACGGGAGGCAGCAGUGGGGAAUAUUGCACAAUGGGCGCAAGCCUGAUGCAGCGACGCCGCGUGAGGGAUGGAGGCCUUCGGGUUGUAAACCUCUUUUAUCGGGGAGCAAGCGAGAGUGAGUUUACCCGUUGAAUAAGCACCGGCUAACUACGUGCCAGCAGCCGCGGUAAUACGUAGGGUGCAAGCGUUAUCCGGAAUUAUUGGGCGUAAAGGGCUCGUAGGCGGUUCGUCGCGUCCGGUGUGAAAGUCCAUCGCUUAACGGUGGAUCCGCGCCGGGUACGGGCGGGCUUGAGUGCGGUAGGGGAGACUGGAAUUCCCGGUGUAACGGUGGAAUGUGUAGAUAUCGGGAA
RNAcentral lists this ribosomal RNA (531 nucleotides) under Bifidobacterium longum subsp. suillum. RNAcentral describes it as "bacterial SSU rRNA". It matches the Rfam family "Bacterial small subunit ribosomal RNA", at positions 157 to 703 of the family's 1533-position model. Lineage: Bacteria; Bacillati; Actinomycetota; Actinomycetes; Bifidobacteriales; Bifidobacteriaceae. The record is from RNAcentral.